This 1155-nucleotide unclassified non-coding RNA is filed under the name Sinistroporomonorchis lizae. RNAcentral's name for it is "sequence contains ITS1, 5.8S rRNA gene, ITS2". The stretch from base 753 to 905 matches the Rfam family "5.8S ribosomal RNA". Lineage: Eukaryota; Metazoa; Platyhelminthes; Trematoda; Plagiorchiida; Monorchiidae. The record is from RNAcentral.
UACGGUUGCUGUCGGUGGGGCAAUUCUGUCCUGCCAGUAAUUGCGGCUUUGCCUGCCUACGGAGGAGCAUCAGUUCUACCAAUCAUAAAACCGGUUUCGGAUUGAGAUACGUGGAUUGAAAAAUAUGGAUUGGGAAGUUUGGAUUGAUAUAUAUGGAUUGAGAGAUUCCGAAGUUGCAAUAACUGGUGGCUUCGAUGGGGAGUGGCCGUCCUCCCGUAAUUUUAGCACAGAGGUGCACAAAUUUAUAAUGCUGGGAUAUUGAGCCAUUGAAGAUGAUUGUGAUGCUACGUGCAGGUGAAGUGAAUCGGGAGUAAGUGUCCUCCCUUCAUUGCAGCUUGGUCUGCCUACGGUGGAGCAUCACUUCUGCCAAUCACAGUGGGACAUUGUCCUGCAUUCUGGCCAUGCACGGAGUUAAUAGCUCCACUGCACGGUCCAUUCUCACCGGGGUGCCUACCUGUCUUAUGCUCAUUUGGUAUGCUCACACUCUAGUAGUGUCAGUCCAAACCAGGGGUGACGGGAUGUACUGUCAACAGUGCUAGGUUCAAUGAGUAGUGUCAGGGCUACGGCUCAGCUACCGCCCCGGGUUAGUUCAACACAACUUUGCAUCGAUGGUACUUAUUACACAUCAAUCUUUCCGUGCCCUUGAUGUAAUGUCAGGGCAGCAGACUGUCGCCUUGUGUUGCCUAGACCUUGGCUGGGACAGUCAAAUUAUGCUUUGCUCAUCCGGCUGUCUGGGUGUGUGAAGUAAGUACAACUUUGAGCGGUGGAUCACUCGGCUCGUGUGUCGAUGAAGAGCGCAGCCAACUGUGUGAAUUAAUGUGAACUGCAUACUGCUUUGAACAUCGACAUCUUGAACGCAUAUUGCGGCCACGGGUUAGCCCGCGGCCACGCCCCUCCGAGGGUCGGCUUAUAAACUAUCACGACGCCCAACAAGUUGUGCCCAGGGUCUUGCCAGCUGGCGUGAUUACUCUUACUCGCGAAUUCUAAAGCUUGUGAGGGGCCAGAACUAUGGCUUUUCCCCAAUGUAUCCGGACACAAUCACUUUGGGGCUGUCAGCCAAAUGUUGAAAUGUGGUGACGGAGUCGUGGCAUAAUUAUUCCGGUGAAGCACGCUCUGGGAAAAAUUAUCACUUUCUACGUUUGCAUGCUAGCGAGA